RNAcentral lists this transfer RNA (72 nucleotides) under Camelus bactrianus (Bactrian camel). It matches the Rfam family "tRNA". From Rfam's summary of the family: Transfer RNA (tRNA) molecules are approximately 80 nucleotides in length. Their secondary structure includes four short double-helical elements and three loops (D, anti-codon, and T loops). Lineage: Eukaryota; Metazoa; Chordata; Mammalia; Artiodactyla; Camelidae. RNAcentral also lists the same sequence under 1 other name. The record is from Rfam by way of RNAcentral.
GAGGGUGUAGCUCAGUGGUAGAGCGUGUGCUUAGCAUGCAUGAGAUGCUGGGUUCAAUCCCUCGUACCUCCA